CGAUUAUGCAAAUUUUCUGUCCAAAUUUUUUUUCACUUUUUUUUUAGAGUGAGAGUCAUCUCAAUAUGAGACAUAAUCUCUUAUAGAAUGAAUGGCUGACACAUGGAUUAACUGACCAUUGCAUGGCUUUGAACAGCCCUGAACAGACAUAGGCAUAUUCAUACAGACACUAAUCCACAUGUGCAGAGGCAGCUGAUUUGAUGUUGUUGGCAGUCACAAGAUUAGACUUUGGCUCAGCACCAGGAAGAGAUCCAAACUAGCGCUGGUAACAGAAGAGGCCGUGUCAGAGUGUAUCAUGUCAUCACAGUGCUAACACUGGGAGUGAAGAGAUAAGGUGGUUUGAAAACU
Molecule: long non-coding RNA, 348 nt
Filed under: Cyanistes caeruleus (blue tit)
Lineage: Eukaryota; Metazoa; Chordata; Aves; Passeriformes; Paridae
Description: lncRNA (ENSCCEG00000005262.1)
Source: RNAcentral